AGAUGAUGAGAGAAAGGUGAAGUUUUUGAAAAGCUUUCGAGGAGCUAAGACAAGAUGACAAAGCAAAAGGAUGCAAAUAAGCCAAAAGGACGAGGCAGGACAAAAAAGAAUGACAUCAACAAUCUGAAAGCUCAAGGACGCAAGACAAAACUAGAGUGGAAUGAGAAAUGAGAACCUAUAGGAACAAAGAUAUGCGUAUAUGCAAUCAUGGAUUGGGGUUAAAGCAAGAUCUACAGUCCCUCUAAAUUAUGAUGAUUGGAGACAUGUAGAUUCGAAACUCAAGGGGAAAAUAUGGAAAGACACAUACGUAAGACUUAAAUUUUGUAUGUAUAUAUUUCAACACAUUUAAUUCAACACUGUUAAUGGGUACUAAUCAAUUCUUGAUUCCACUAAAUCUUAUGAGAAAUUCAUUGCAGAGGUUUUUGACAAGACUCAUAUUUCUCUUCAGGCCAUGUUCUUGGAAUAUAUGAGAGUAAAAGGUAAAAAUGAGUUUGUGAGGGUUCCUGUCAACCCAUCCUUAUUCUACCGAGUUCACAUCUACAUAACUUCCGAAGAUGUCAUACAAGUGGCCACCCAAGAUGAACUUACGGGUUCAGCUAUGUUAUUUGGACUAAGAUGCAUUUGGGAAAAUUUAAAUCAAAGACAAAUAUUAGUUCAAAUGCUAUUGUAUUUGGCAAAAAUGGACCGGAGAUAUGGACCUUUGCUUGUCCAAAGCAACCAUACAAUUACGAAUGUGGUUACUAUGUACUAACUUACAUUCGUGAUAUGCUUCAACAUUCAAAUCCUAUUACAGCCAUAAAAGCAAAAUUUGGCGGUCUAUCCCAAUAUUUUGAGGACGAUCAUCUCUUACCGCUUCGACAACAGUGGUUAAGUCAAUUGCUUCCCUUGAUAUAUAAAAAUUAACUAGUAGUCUUUUAUUGUAUUUUUUUAGACAAUGUGUAGUAUUUAAUUUAGAGAUUUAUGCAUAAUAUGUAACGUGUUAUUUAGAAUUGAACUUACAAAUUAUUAUUGUUGUUAUUAAAAAUGAUAUUAAUCAUUUAUUUUUAAUUAAGUUUUUUUUA
This is a long non-coding RNA of Cannabis sativa, 1061 nucleotides long. RefSeq lists it as uncharacterized. Lineage: Eukaryota; Viridiplantae; Streptophyta; Magnoliopsida; Rosales; Cannabaceae. The record is from RefSeq and is a predicted model, not a curated record. The transcript is spliced from 4 exons.